RNAcentral lists this ribosomal RNA (305 nucleotides) under uncultured bacterium. Its description in RNAcentral is "bacterial SSU rRNA". It matches the Rfam family "Bacterial small subunit ribosomal RNA", at positions 339 to 661 of the family's 1533-position model. The record is from RNAcentral.
CCUCGGGACGCAGCAGUGGGGAAUAUUGCACAAUGGGGGAAACCCUGAUGCAGCGACGCCGCGUGAGUGAAGAAGUAUCUCGGUACGUAAAGCUCUAUCAGCCGGAAAGAAAAUGACGGUACCUGACUAAGAAGCCCCGGCUAACUACGUGCCAGCAGCCGCGGUAAUACGUAGGGGGCAAGCGUUAUCCGGAUUUACUGGGUGUAAAGGGAGCGUAGACGGCGCUGCAAGUCCGGAGUGAAAGCCCAUGGCUUAACCAUGGUACUGCUCUGGAAACUGUAGAGCUUGAGUGCGGGCGGGGCAGG